UGCCAGCAGCCGCGGUAAUACGAAGGGUGCUAGCGUUGUUCGGAAUUACUGGGUUUAAAGGGUGCGUAGGCGGCUUGAUAAGUCAGUGGUGAAAGCCCAGAGCUCAACUCUGGAACUGCCAUUGAUACUGUCAAGCUUGAGUGUGGUUGAAGUAGGCGGAAUGCAGCAUGUAGCGGUGAAAUGCUUAGAUAUGCUGCAGAACACCAAUUGCGAAGGCAGCUUACUAAACCAUUACUGACGCUGAGGCACGAAAGCGUGGGGAGCGAACAGGAUUAGAUA
RNAcentral lists this ribosomal RNA (279 nucleotides) under uncultured bacterium. Its description in RNAcentral is "partial 16S ribosomal RNA". It matches the Rfam family "Bacterial small subunit ribosomal RNA", at positions 506 to 784 of the family's 1533-position model. The record is from RNAcentral.